This 494-nucleotide ribosomal RNA is filed under the name uncultured bacterium. RNAcentral's name for it is "partial 16S ribosomal RNA". It matches the Rfam family "Bacterial small subunit ribosomal RNA", at positions 28 to 507 of the family's 1533-position model. The record is from RNAcentral.
GACGAACGCUGGCGGCGCGCUUAACACAUGCAAGUCGAACGGAAAGGCCUGCUUUCCCUUGUGGAUUGCGGGUACUCGAGUGGCGAACGGGUGAGUAACACGUGAGUGAUCUGCCCCCAACUUGGGUAUAAGCCUGGGAAACUGGGUCUAAUUCCCGAUAGGACUGCAGGGUGGUGCCGGUGGUGGAACACGAUUUUCUAGUGGUUGGGGAUGAGCUCGCGGCCUAUCAGCUUGUUGGUGGGGUAAUGGCCUACCAAGGCGGCGACGGGUAGCCGGCCUGAGAGGGUGGACGGGCACAUUGGGACUGAGAUACGACCCAGACUCCGACGGGAGGCAGCAGUGGGGAAGAGUGGACGAUGGGCGGAAGCCUGAUGCAGCGACGCCGCGUGGGGGAUGACGGCCUUCGGGUUGUAAACUCCUUUCGACCGCGAGGAAGCCACCUGGUUGGAAGGGUGGUGACGGUAGUGGUAGAAGAAGCACCGGCUAACUACGUG